CACGUAGGGCGCAAGCGUUGUCCGGAAUUAUUGGGCGUAAAGAGCUCGUAGGCGGUCUGUUGCGUCCGCUGUGAAAACUCGGGGCUUAACCCCGAGCCUGCAGUGGAUACGGGCAGACUAGAGGUAGGUAGGGGAGAAUGGAAUUUCCGGUGUAGCGGUGAAAUGCGUAGAGAUCGGAAGGAACACCAGUGGCGAAGGCGGCUACCUGGCCUAAUACUGACACUGAGGCACGAAAGCGUGGGGAGCAAACAGG
RNAcentral lists this ribosomal RNA (253 nucleotides) under uncultured bacterium. RNAcentral describes it as "partial 16S ribosomal RNA". It matches the Rfam family "Bacterial small subunit ribosomal RNA", at positions 524 to 776 of the family's 1533-position model. The record is from RNAcentral.